This 497-nucleotide ribosomal RNA is filed under the name uncultured bacterium. Its description in RNAcentral is "partial 16S ribosomal RNA". It matches the Rfam family "Bacterial small subunit ribosomal RNA", at positions 28 to 507 of the family's 1533-position model. The record is from RNAcentral.
GAUGAACGCUGGCGGCGUGCCUAAUACAUGCAAGUCGAGCGAACGGACGAGAAGCUUGCUUUUCUGAUGUUAGCGGCGGACGGGUGAGUAACACGUGGAUAACCUACCUAUAAGACUGGGAUAACUUCGGGAAACCGGAGCUAAUACCGGAUAAUAUCUUGAACCGCAUGGUUCAAAAGUGAAAGACGGUCUUGCUGUCACUUAUCGAUGGAUCCGCGCUGCAUUAGCUAGUUGGUAAGGUAACGGCUUACCAAGGCAACGAUGCAUAGCCGACCUGAGAGGGUGAUCGGCCACACUGGAGCUGAGACGCGGUCCAGACUCCUACGAGAGGCAGCAGUAGGGAAUCUUCCGCAGUGGGCGAAAGCCUGACGGAGCAACGCCGCGUGAGUGAUAAAGGUCUUCGGAUCGUAAAACUCUGUUAUUAGGGAAGAACAGAUGUGUAAGUAACUGUGCACAUCUUGACGGUACCUAAUCAGAAAGCCACGGCUAACUACGUG